GCAAGACUAGUAACUCAAGGGAAGUAUAUCAGGGAGGAGAGCCGUGACUGCAAGCUCUCUAUAUGAAAGCUGGGUGAAUUCACUUGCGCAUGGAUUUAGAAAUGAAGGUCUGACUUGUCAGAUGAAAACGGAUGGUACCGCGUGUCAACGCUCCGAGUGGAGUUUUUGGCAUGUGGUUUUCUUUUUA
RNAcentral lists this unclassified non-coding RNA (187 nucleotides) under Streptococcus mitis B6. RNAcentral describes it as "T-box leader". Lineage: Bacteria; Bacillati; Bacillota; Bacilli; Lactobacillales; Streptococcaceae. The record is from RNAcentral.